This is a non-coding RNA of Arthrobotrys musiformis, 105 nucleotides long. Lineage: Eukaryota; Fungi; Ascomycota; Orbiliomycetes; Orbiliales; Orbiliaceae. The record is from the annotation of a GenBank genome assembly.
GCCCUCUUGGUGUAGUUGGUUAUCACGUCAGUCUCAUAUCUUUGGUAUGAAGGCCUUAAACAGGCAGAAAUCUGAAGGUCAGCAGUUCGAUCCUGCUAGAAGGCA